Molecule: ribosomal RNA, 694 nt
Filed under: uncultured Burkholderia sp.
Lineage: Bacteria; Pseudomonadati; Pseudomonadota; Betaproteobacteria; Burkholderiales; Burkholderiaceae
Description: bacterial SSU rRNA
Rfam family: Bacterial small subunit ribosomal RNA
Source: RNAcentral
CGGCAGCACGGGAGCAAUCCUGGUGGCGAGUGGCGAACGGGUGAGUAAUACAUCGGAACGUGUCCUGGAGUGGGGGAUAGCCCGGCGAAAGCCGGAUUAAUACCGCAUACGCUCUGAGGAGGAAAGGGGGGGAUCUUAGGACCUCUCGCUCAAGGGGCGGCCGAUGGCAGAUUAGCUAGUUGGUGGGGUAAAGGCCUACCAAGGCGACGAUCUGUAGCUGGUCUGAGAGGACGACCAGCCACACUGGGACUGAGACACGGCCCAGACUCCUACGGGAGGCAGCAGUGGGGAAUUUUGGACAAUGGGCGCAAGCCUGAUCCAGCAAUGCCGCGUGUGUGAAGAAGGCCUUCGGGUUGUAAAGCACUUUUGUCCGGAAAGAAAACCGCCUGGCUAAUAUCCGGGUGGGAUGACGGUACCGGAAGAAUAAGCACCGGCUAACUACGUGCCAGCAGCCGCGGUAAUACGUAGGGUGCAAGCGUUAAUCGGAAUUACUGGGCGUAAAGCGUGCGCAGGCGGUCCGCUAAGACAGAUGUGAAAUCCCCGGGCUUAACCUGGGAACUGCAUUUGUGACUGGCGGGCUAGAGUAUGGCAGAGGGGGGUAGAAUUCCACGUGUAGCAGUGAAAUGCGUAGAGAUGUGGAGGAAUACCGAUGGCGAAGGCAGCCCCCUGGGCCAAUACUGACGCUCAUGCACGA